Molecule: ribosomal RNA, 805 nt
Filed under: uncultured bacterium
Lineage: Bacteria
Description: bacterial SSU rRNA
Rfam family: Bacterial small subunit ribosomal RNA
Source: RNAcentral
GACGAACGCUGGCGGUGUGCUUAAUACAUGCAAGUCGAACGUGAAGCUACCUUCGGGUAGUGGAAAGUGGCGGACGGGUGAGUAACACGUAGGUAAUCUGCCUUAAGGUGGGGGACAACGUUGGGAAACUGACGCUAAUACCCCAUAUGUGGCGAGUUGAAAUACUUGUCAUGAAAGUUCCGGCGCCUUAAGAUGAGCCUGCGGCUGAUUAGUUAGUUGGUGAGGUAAUGGCUUACCAAGACUAUGAUCAGUAGCUGGUCUGAGAGGAUGAUCAGCCACAAUGGGACUGAGACACGGCCCAUACUCCUACGGGAGGCAGCAGUAGGGAAUUUUGCGCAAUGGGCGAAAGCCUGACGCAGCAACACCGCGUGAGUGAUGAAGCAUCUUGGUGUGUAAAACUCUGUCAGAGGGGACGAAUUUUGACGGUACCCUCAAAGGAAGCAUCGGCUAACUACGUGCCAGCAGCCGCGGUAAGACGUAGGAUGCAAGCGUUGUCCGGAAUUAUUGGGCGUAAAGAGUUCGUAGGCGGCAUGUAAAGUCUGGUGUUAAAGCCCGGAGCUCAACUCCGGUUCGGCAUUGGAUACUUACAAGCUAGAAUGCGGAAGAGGCAAAGGGAAUUCCUAGUGUAGCGGUGAAAUGCGUAGAUAUUAGGAGGAACACCGGUGGCGUAAGCGCUUUGCUGGUCUGUUAUUGACGCUGAGGAACGAAAGCCAGGGGAGCAAAUGGGAUUAGAUACCCCAGUAGUCCUGGCCGUAAACGAUGGAUACUAGGUGUUGUAGGUAUCGACCCCUGCAGUGCUGCAGCU